GACGAACGCUGGCGGCGUGCUUAACACAUGCAAGUCGAACGGAAAGGCCCUGCUUGCAGGGUACUCGAGUGGCGAACGGGUGAGUAACACGUGGGUGAUCUGCCCUGCACUUCGGGAUAAGCCUGGGGAACUGGGUCUAAUACCGGAUAGGAGCCAUUUUUAGUGUGAUGGUUGGAAAGUUUUUUUCGGUGUAGGAUGAGCUCGCGGCCUAUCAGCUUGUUGGUGGGGUAAUGGCCUACCAAGGCGGCGACGGGUAGCCGGCCUGAGAGGGUGGACGGCCACACUGGGACUGAGAGACGGCACAGACGCCGACGGGAGGCAGAAGUGGGGAAGAUUGCACCAUGGGCGCCAGCCUGAUGCAGCGACGCCGCGGGGGGGAUGACGGCCUUCGGGUUGUAAACUCCUUUCGCUAGGGACGAAGCUUUUUGUGACGGUACCUAGAUAAGAAGCACCGGCUAACUACGUG
This 466-nucleotide ribosomal RNA is filed under the name uncultured bacterium. RNAcentral's name for it is "partial 16S ribosomal RNA". It matches the Rfam family "Bacterial small subunit ribosomal RNA", at positions 28 to 507 of the family's 1533-position model. The record is from RNAcentral.